GGGUCGGUAGCUCAGCUGGUAGAGCAGAUCCCUCUUAAGGAUAAGGUCCUGGGUUCGAUCCCCAGCCGACCCACUA
This 76-nucleotide transfer RNA is filed under the name Candidatus Magasanikbacteria bacterium RIFOXYD1_FULL_40_23. Its description in RNAcentral is "tRNA-Lys". It matches the Rfam family "tRNA". From Rfam's summary of the family: Transfer RNA (tRNA) molecules are approximately 80 nucleotides in length. Their secondary structure includes four short double-helical elements and three loops (D, anti-codon, and T loops). Further hydrogen bonds mediate the characteristic L-shaped molecular structure. tRNAs have two regions of fundamental functional importance: the anti-codon, which is responsible for specific mRNA codon recognition, and the 3' end, to which the tRNAs corresponding amino acid is attached (by aminoacyl-tRNA synthetases). tRNAs cope with the degeneracy of the genetic code in two manners: having more than one tRNA (with a specific anti-codon) for a particular amino acid; and 'wobble' base-pairing, i.e. permitting non-standard base-pairing at the 3rd anti-codon position. Lineage: Bacteria; Candidatus Magasanikiibacteriota. The record is from RNAcentral. RNAcentral also lists the same sequence under 1 other name.